This 73-nucleotide transfer RNA is filed under the name Camelus bactrianus (Bactrian camel). It matches the Rfam family "tRNA". From Rfam's summary of the family: Transfer RNA (tRNA) molecules are approximately 80 nucleotides in length. Their secondary structure includes four short double-helical elements and three loops (D, anti-codon, and T loops). Lineage: Eukaryota; Metazoa; Chordata; Mammalia; Artiodactyla; Camelidae. The record is from Rfam by way of RNAcentral. RNAcentral also lists the same sequence under 3 other names.
GAGGGUAUAGCUCAAGUGGUAGAGCACAUGUUUAGCAUGCACAAGGUCCUGGGUUCAAUCCCCAGUACCUCCU